This 483-nucleotide ribosomal RNA is filed under the name Physotarsus sp. BF001031. Its description in RNAcentral is "eukaryotic LSU rRNA". The record is from RNAcentral. Lineage: Eukaryota; Metazoa; Arthropoda; Insecta; Hymenoptera; Ichneumonidae.
CCUGAGAAACCCGAAAGAUCGAAUGGGGAGAUUCAUCGUCAGCGAUCCUGGCACUUGUGCGGUUCGCGAUGUCGCGGGACCUCGGUCUCGCGGCACGCGCUCCGCAUGGUUUUUUUUAUGCCAGGUGUCGUCGGCGUGCACUUCUCCCCUAGUAGGACGUCGCGACCCGUUGGGUGUCGGUCUACGACCCGGGUGGGCGCCUGUCGUGUGUCACGCCUCGCGGCGUUGUCGCGCGGCAGACCCCCGUGUGUUCGUGGCCAACUGCCCGGCGGUACUCGCACGGUAUCGAGCCGCAAAUAUUCGAACUGCGUCCGGCCCGCCGCAAGCGAGGCCAGUGUUUCCCGGAUGUACGGACCUCGCGCCGUCACCGGGCCUGGCCAGCUGUUGGCUGGCGGUGCUCUGGGACUGGCUCUUUGUCAAUUAUGAUACCGGUCGGCGACGCUACUGCUUUGGGUACUUUCAGGACCCGUCUUGAAACACGGA